RNAcentral lists this ribosomal RNA (440 nucleotides) under uncultured bacterium. Its description in RNAcentral is "partial 16S ribosomal RNA". It matches the Rfam family "Bacterial small subunit ribosomal RNA", at positions 338 to 795 of the family's 1533-position model. The record is from RNAcentral.
CCUACUGGAGACAUCAUUGGGGUAUCUUGCACAAUGGGGGGAACCCUGAUGCAGCGACGCCGCGUGGGUUCCUUCUCUUUUCUUCUCUUCCCUCCCUCUCUUCCUUUCCUCCUAUUCCUUUACCUUCCCAAGAAGCCCCGGCUAACUACGUUCCAUCAUCCGCUUUAAUACGUAGGGUGCCCUCUUUAUCCUGAUUUACUUUUUUGAAAGGGGGCGCAGACGGCAAUGCAAGCCAGGAGUGAAAGCCCGGGGCCCAACCCCGGGACUGCGAUUGGAACUGCAUGGCUGGAGUACAGGAGGGGCAGGCGGAAUUCCUAGUGUAGCGGUGAAAUGCGUAGAGAUUAGGAGGAACACCGGUGGCGAAGGCGGCCUGAUGGACUGUGAAUGAAGUUGAGGCACGAAGGCGGGGGGAGAAAACAGGAUGAGAGAAAAGAGGAGUC